AACGAACGCUGGCGGCGUGGAUAAGACAUGCAAGUUGAACGGGACCAUCCCGGUUGGCAACAAUCGGGGGGUUCAGUAGCGAACGGGUGCGUAACACGUGGGAAUCUGCCUGGAAGAGGGGGAUAGCUCGCCGAAAGGCGAAUUAAUACCGCAUAUUAACAAAGCGGGGGACCGUAAGGCCUCGCACUUCCAGAUGAGCCCGCGUCCUAUCAGCUAGUUGGUGAGGUAAUGGCUCACCAAGGCUUUGACGGUAGCUGGUCUGAGAGGACGACCAGCCACACUGGGACUGAGACACGGCCCAGACACCUACGGUGGCAGCAGUCGAGAAUUUUUCACAAUGGGGGGCAACCCUGAUGGAGCGACGCCGCGUGGAGGAUGAAGGGCUUCGGCUCGUAAACUCCUGUCACCCCAGACAAAUACGAUCCGGUGAACAUCCGGA
Molecule: ribosomal RNA, 439 nt
Filed under: uncultured bacterium
Lineage: Bacteria
Description: bacterial SSU rRNA
Rfam family: Bacterial small subunit ribosomal RNA
Source: RNAcentral